AUUGAACGCUGGCGGCAGGCCUAACACAUGCAAGUCGAGCGGAUGAAGGGAGCUUGCUCCUGGAUUCAGCGGCGGACGGGUGAGUAAUGCCUAGGAAUCUGCCUGGUAGUGGGGGAUAACGUCCGGAAACGGGCGCUAAUACCGCAUACGUCCUGAGGGAGAAAGUGGGGGAUCUUCGGACCUCACGCUAUCAGAUGAGCCUAGGUCGGAUUAGCUAGUUGGUGGGGUAAAGGCCUACCAAGGCGACGAUCCGUAACUGGUCUGAGAGGAUGAUCAGUCACACUGGAACUGAGACACGGUCCAGACUCCUACGGGAGGCAGCAGUGGGGAAUAUUGGACAAUGGGCGAAAGCCUGAUCCAGCCAUGCCACGUGUGUGAAGAAGGUCUUCGGAUUGUAAAGCACUUUAAGUUGGGGGGAAGGGCAGUAAGUUAAUACCUUGCUGUUUUGACGUUACCAACAGAAUAAGCACCGGCUAACUUCGUG
Molecule: ribosomal RNA, 484 nt
Filed under: uncultured bacterium
Lineage: Bacteria
Description: partial 16S ribosomal RNA
Rfam family: Bacterial small subunit ribosomal RNA
Source: RNAcentral